AGCCGUGGCACUGUCAAGUCAUCAGACGCGGUGAUUGCGAGGCCUGUGGGAAAGUACAAAAGCCUGGGCUAGAUUACCCCUCUCAUCGAGCCCGCCUGUGUGGCACCUGUUUCUUAUCACCCCACUAAGUUCCCGCCUCACAGGGUAGUCUGCCUAGCUAUUAAUCCUAUAUAUAGCCAGUGCCUCCACCCCCGAGAGAGAGAGAGGCACAAAGGGAGCCGCGGGGAGCGGACCGGUAGAGGCUUCGAGAGAGACUGAAGCACAAAAGGAGCCGCGGGGAGCGGACCGGUAGAGGCUUCGGGGCAGACUGAAGCACGGAAGGAGCCGCGGGGAGCGGACCGGUAGAGGCUUCGGGGCAGACUGUAUAAGGAGAGAAUAAAGAAAAGCCUGACCACCGCCAGACCUUGUCGUGUGUCUUUCCUGCCGGCCGGGAGCGGACAUCGACGUUUGGAGGCCCGCCCGGGGAUUGAUCAACCCCGAGACGCGGUGGUGGACUGCAUUCUCCUACACAGUGCUGCAGCUGCAGGACAGGAAUCGGGACGAGAGCCAAUGUGGGUCCCAGAGAGGUUGACGCGACAAGUCCCUCGACUGAAGAUCAGGCCUGUUCCACCAGAGGCCAACCGCAGACCCAACAACAA
This is a long non-coding RNA of Cavia porcellus (domestic guinea pig), 638 nucleotides long. RefSeq lists it as uncharacterized. NCBI's taxonomy places the organism in Eukaryota, Metazoa, Chordata, Mammalia, Rodentia, Caviidae. The transcript has 2 exons. The record is from RefSeq and is a predicted model, not a curated record.